This 2403-nucleotide long non-coding RNA is filed under the name Pongo abelii (Sumatran orangutan). RNAcentral describes it as "lncRNA (ENSPPYG00000032763.1)". Lineage: Eukaryota; Metazoa; Chordata; Mammalia; Primates; Hominidae. The record is from RNAcentral.
AGUUGUAAAUCUAAUGGAUGGGAGGGGAGAAAAUACAAGCUCUCCACACAGGUAUGCUCCCCUCUUUUCUGAGAGAGAAGACAUGGGAUUUUCAGCGUAAAUUCCAUGUUAUGUGAGUGCUGUUUGAGUUCUGAAGUUCCUAUGAAUAUCUUCCUGCAAGUGAUCUCUGUAAGACCACCUUACAUGCUGGUCUUAGUUAUUGUUAAAAUUGCAAGGUUUCUUCACACCCUCUUUGAUAAGAAAUGGUUAGCUGGCAGAGCUUUCCCUUGACUUCUGAGACUAGUGUGGGUUGACCCAUGACAGUGGGAAGAAAUCCAGCAUGUUACAUAGAGACCUUGUAUGUAAAUAAACUCUGUAGCCUUAGAAAGUGGAGCUGCUUUUUACAGUUAAAGGGCUGCUAAAUGGCUUGCAGGUGAGAUCUUCUGGCUCACCUUGAUCUUCACAUGAACCCAUUGUGACCUAUCUGGAUUUCCUAGGACCUGUAGUUUCCAUUUGGGUUAUAUUAGUGCCUGAGGAAUGUGUCACUACUGGUCAAGAAAUACUCAGAAAUUCAGGCUGUGAGGGGUUAGAGGAAAGUAAUUUAGGUGAGCUAUCCAGAGCUUUCAACCUCAGGGUUUAUAGGAAAAAAAACAAAAAACAAAAACCCUUAGGACUUCUCAUACUCUAGCCCUGACCUUGCAGUCUCCUCUGAGGGGCCUCCUAAGACCCUUAAAAUAAUAUUACAGUAGGACUUUGAGUGUGCAUUUCACAGUGGAAAUAGCCUCUGGCUAGCAUUACUUCCAAAUGCUAGUUCCAGCUAAAAACAAGUACUUUUUAUUAGUUUCUUGUCUUUCAACAUUCUGCCAUCAAAACAUAUUCAUUUUAUUAACUUACUGAUUAUUGGGAACCUGCAAAAAAAAACACACAUGCUGUCUGCAGCCACCGAUUGGUUAUUUUUGAUAGUUUAAGAUAAUUAUAAAUCAAGUUGUUCUGUCUACUAGAGUCAGAAAUUCUGUGCUAGAAUGGGACUUCUAAAAUUAGGUGGUCCUGUCACUUUCUAGAGAAAGACCCAAAUUCAUAGGUUUAAGUGGCUUGUCUGACAUACACAUACAGCCAGUUAGUAACAGAAUUCAGAGUAGAAUAGAGUUCUUUUUUUUCUGUCAGUCCGUUCUACUUCUCUUUCCUUUUCUUCAUGGUUGAGCAGCUUUUGGCAAAAUGUGUUCCUUAUAGCAGUAGUUCCAAGAGAUGUUAAUAGAUGUAAGAAAAAAAGUGUGUGUGUGUUGGGGGUGGGGGAUUGCAUGGUCAAUUAAAAUGAAGGAAUGCCGAGUUUGUUUCCUUUCUGUAGGACUUCUAAGAGUUUUGAACAUGCUAUUACACAUUGUGAAUUUAUAAAAGGGGACAAACACUGUUUGACCUUAGACUGCACUCCCCUUCUUUAUUCCUCAGAGCAUCUCAAAGGACUACAGGGUCCUUUGGGAAACAUGGCCCUUGAUCGAGUUUACAGCUCUUUGAGAAGACAUCCCUAAUGGAAAUACUGAAUGGCAGAUCUAUUACUGUGGUACCAUGUAGUGUGUAAUAAAUCUUGAAGUCUAGAAAGCAAGUAUAUUUGCUGUUCAGAGCUAUACUUAAGGUGUAGAGAUUCUUUUCCACCUAUGGUGUGUAAAAUCAGUAUUGUGUUUAAUUUUGCAGGUUUUUCAAGGAUCAACUAAUGUGCAAAUACAGUGGUGAUAUAUUGAUAUUACAUUUUAAUAUGCUUUUGUAUGGCACUUUAUAGUUUUCAGACACCUUUUGUAACAGCCCUGUGAGACAGACAAUAUUAUCCUUGUUGUACAGAUGGGGGGACUCUGGAGGCUCUGAAAACUUUUUGGUGAUAUUCCCCUAAGUUUAUACCACAAAAUGAUGGAGCCAGAAUUUAGUUGCAGAACUUCCUGACUCCAAGUCCAGAGUUCUUUACUAGACAUCUGGUUUCUUACUAGCUUUUUGCUAGCUUUUUAUUUUACAGUGAAAAGUAUGGAAGCAAAUCCUGAUCAUUCUGGCUUAUUAUCAAAUACCAUUUAUUUUUUAUUGCAGAGACCGAGCAGAUGUAAUAACUCUCAUUGUAGCCAUCCCAAAGGAAACCCUUCUUUGCCCUUUGCAGUGCCACUUAUUUAGGUAACUGAAGUGUAUUUCCAGUACAAUUUGAUUUUGAACUAAGAUUUGAUAUAGAGUUGUAAUUGCUUACGUAACUCUUUGAAAAUGUAUCAUCCCUGGGUUCUCAGGUGAAGGAGGCAAUUCAAAAGUAAAAAAGAAUAUUCGAAUACAAUAAAUACCCUCUGUUCUCACACAAAUGCUGUUUCUUAGCUUUAACUUGCUUUGACAACCUACUGAUGUAACUUCUUUGUUAACGUGAAAUAUUUAUAUUUUGAAAUAAAAUUACUAGUGUUG